UUAAGCGACUAAGCGUACACGGUGGAUGCCCUGGCAGUCAGAGGCGAUGAAGGGCGUGCUAAUCUGCGAUAAGCGCCGGUAAGGUGAUAUGAACCGUUAUAACCGGCGAUACCCGAAUGGGGAAACCCAGUGUGAUUCGUCACACUAUCAUUAACUGAAUCCAUAGGUUAAUGAGGCGAACCGGGGGAACUGAAACAUCUAAGUACCCCGAGGAAAAGAAAUCAACCGAGAUUCCCCCAGUAGCGGCGAGCGAACGGGGAGGAGCCCAGAGCCUGAAUCAGCAUGUGUGUUAGUGGAAGCGUCUGGAAAGGCGCGCGAUACAGGGUGACAGCCCCGUACACAAAAGCGCAUGUGCUGUGAGCUCGAUGAGUAGGGCGGGACACGUGGUAUCCUGUCUGAAUAUGGGGGGACCAUCCUCCAAGGCUAAAUACUCCUGACUGACCGAUAGUGAACCAGUACCGUGAGGGAAAGGCGAAAAGAACCCCGGCGAGGGGAGUGAAAAAGAACCUGAAACCGUGUACGUACAAGCAGUGGGAGCACNAGGGAAACCGAGUCUUAACCGGGCGUUAAGUUGCAGGGUAUAGACCCGAAACCCGGUGAUCUAGCCAUGGGCAGGUUGAAGGUUGGGUAACACUAACUGGAGGACCGAACCGACUAAUGUUGAAAAAUUAGCGGAUGACCUGUGGCUGGGGGUGAAAGGCCAAUCAAACCGGGAGAUAGCUGGUUCUCCCCGAAAGCUAUUUAGGUAGCGCCUCGUGAAUUCAUCUCCGGGGGUAGAGCACUGUUUCGGCUAGGGGGCCAUCCCGGCUUACCAACCCGAUGCAAACUGCGAAUACCGGAGAAUGUUAUCACGGGAGACACACGGCGGGUGCUAACGUCCGUCGUGAAGAGGGAAACAACCCAGACCGCCAGCUAAGGUCCCAAAGUCAUGGUUAAGUGGGAAACGAUGUGGGAAGGCCCAGACAGCCAGGAUGUUGGCUUAGAAGCAGCCAUCAUUUAAAGAAAGCGUAAUAGCUCACUGGUCGAGUCGGCCUGCGCGGAAGAUGUAACGGGGCUAAACCAUGCACCGAAGCUGCGGCAGCGAACGUAUCACCCAAGACAACUUUACGGAGUUGACGAUUGACGGAGCGAAGCGACGUCAAAGCGUUCAUUAAAGUCGAGUUGGCUUAGGGAUACGUUCGUUGGGUAGGGGAGCGUUCUGUAAGCCUGUGAAGGUGUGUCGUGAGGCAUGCUGGAGGUAUCAGAAGUGCGAAUGCUGACAUAAGUAACGAUAAAGCGGGUGAAAAGCCCGCUCGCCGGAAGACCAAGGGUUCCUGUCCAACGUUAAUCGGGGCAGGGUGAGUCGACCCCUAAGGCGAGGCCGAAAGGCGUAGUCGAUGGGAAACGGGUUAAUAUUCCCGUACUUGGUGUUACUGCGAAGGGGGGACGGAGAAGGCUAUGUUGGCCGGGCGACGGUUGUCCCGGUUUAAGCGUGUAGGUGUGUGUUCCAGGUAAAUCCGGUUCACUUUAACACUGAGGCGUGACGACGAGGCACUACGGUGCUGAAGCAACAAAUGCCCUGCUUCCAGGAAAAGCCUCUAAGCAUCAGGUAACACGAAAUCGUACCCCAAACCGACACAGGUGGUCAGGUAGAGAAUACCAAGGCGCUUGAGAGAACUCGGGUGAAGGAACUAGGCAAAAUGGUGCCGUAACUUCGGGAGAAGGCACGCUGACACGUAGGUGAAGUGAUUUACUCAUGGAGCUGAAGUCAGUCGAAGAUACCAGCUGGCUGCAACUGUUUAUUAAAAACACAGCACUGUGCAAACACGAAAGUGGACGUAUACGGUGUGACGCCUGCCCGGUGCCGGAAGGUUAAUUGAUGGGGUCAGCGCAAGCGAAGCUCCUGAUCGAAGCCCCGGUAAACGGCGGCCGUAACUAUAACGGUCCUAAGGUAGCGAAAUUCCUUGUCGGGUAAGUUCCGACCUGCACGAAUGGCGUAAUGAUGGCCAGGCUGUCUCCACCCGAGACUCAGUGAAAUUGAACUCGCUGUGAAGAUGCAGUGUACCCGCGGCAAGACGGAAAGACCCCGUGAACCUUUACUAUAGCUUGACACUGAACAUUGAGCCUUGAUGUGUAGGAUAGGUGGGAGGCUUUGAAGUGUGGACGCCAGUCUGCAUGGAGCCGACCUUGAAAUACCACCCUUUAAUGUUUGAUGUUCUAACGUGGACCCGUAAUCCGGGUUGCGGACAGUGUCUGGUGGGUAGUUUGACUGGGGCGGUCUCCUCCUAAAGAGUAACGGAGGAGCACGAAGGUUGGCUAAUCCUGGUCGGACAUCAGGAGGUUAGUGCAAUGGCAUAAGCCAGCUUGACUGCGAGCGUGACGGCGCGAGCAGGUGCGAAAGCAGGUCAUAGUGAUCCGGUGGUUCUGAAUGGAAGGGCCAUCGCUCAACGGAUAAAAGGUACUCCGGGGAUAACAGGCUGAUACCGCCCAAGAGUUCAUAUCGACGGCGGUGUUUGGCACCUCGAUGUCGGCUCAUCACAUCCUGGGGCUGAAGUAGGUCCCAAGGGUAUGGCUGUUCGCCAUUUAAAGUGGUACGCGAGCUGGGUUUAGAACGUCGUGAGACAGUUCGGUCCCUAUCUGCCGUGGGCGCUGGAGAACUGAGGGGGGCUGCUCCUAGUACGAGAGGACCGGAGUGGACGCAUCACUGGUGUUCGGGUUGUCAUGCCAAUGGCACUGCCCGGUAGCUAAAUGCGGAAGAGAUAAGUGCUGAAAGCAUCUAAGCACGAAACUUGCCCCGAGAUGAGUUCUCCCUGAGACUUAGAGUCUCCUGAAGGAACGUUGAAGACGACGACGUUGAUAGGCCGGGUGUGUAAGCGCAGCGAUGCGUUGAGCUAACCGGUACUAAUGAACCGUGAGGCUUAACCUU
This 2905-nucleotide ribosomal RNA is filed under the name Salmonella enterica subsp. enterica serovar Typhimurium str. DT104. RNAcentral's name for it is "bacterial LSU rRNA". It matches the Rfam family "Bacterial large subunit ribosomal RNA". The record is from RNAcentral. Lineage: Bacteria; Pseudomonadati; Pseudomonadota; Gammaproteobacteria; Enterobacterales; Enterobacteriaceae.